AUGACUCCAGUUCGCUAUACGCGCAGAGGGGCGGAUAACGCGCGGACCCCGCCUUCCCCAACCGAGUGUGAGUUCCAGUCGCUGGGGAGGACCUGGUGGCCCCCUGACCUUGGACGAGCCAUAUUGGACGCCCCGGCGCCGUCCAGUCUUCCACGCUGCCAACUCCGCCGCUCCCGCCCCGAACUGCGGGUAGGUCCAGGCCGCCAGGCCCCGCCUCACCGGCUCCAGCCCUGA
Symphalangus syndactylus (siamang) is the source of this 234-nucleotide long non-coding RNA. RefSeq lists it as uncharacterized. NCBI's taxonomy places the organism in Eukaryota, Metazoa, Chordata, Mammalia, Primates, Hylobatidae. The record is from RefSeq and is a predicted model, not a curated record.